AGAGAGAGAACAAAGAGCAGGUGUGAUCGGAGCUCAGGAAAUCCUCCCUCUGGCACUGGAGACACAGAAAUGAAAGAGACAACGUGCCCUCAAGGAUCUCACAGUGUGUGGUGAGGUGGACACACACACACAUAUCUAAGCACAUGACAGUGAGAGGCACGUGGUCACGAGGUUGUGACGUGGAGCUGAGAGCUCAGAGGAAGGGCUUUGGAUCAAGUGUGGUCAGACCACACUCGGCCAUGAAAGUCUUUGAAGGUGGGGAAGGGGUGAAGAUGGUGAGGGGAUUCCACGGCUGGGAGAGGUACACUCCCUACACGUUCUAACCAACUGGCCGUGGGGAGGAAGCUGGAGGUCAGGACACAGGUAGGGCCUGGGUUUUUGCCUCAUGUGACUGGGUGGAUGGUCACAAUUCGGCCAUG
RNAcentral lists this long non-coding RNA (419 nucleotides) under Homo sapiens (human). RNAcentral describes it as "HSALNT0372451". Lineage: Eukaryota; Metazoa; Chordata; Mammalia; Primates; Hominidae. The record is from RNAcentral.